ACAGAGGGUGCAAGCGUUAAUCGGAAUUACUGGGCGUAAAGGGCGCGUAGGUUGCUAUGUAAGUUGGAUGUGAAAUGUUCGGGCUUAACCUGAAACGGCCAUCCAAUACUGCAUAGCUAGAGUACAGUAGAGGGAAGGGGAAUUUCCGGUGUAGCGGUGAAAUGCGUAGAUAUCGGAAGGAACAUCAGUGGCGAAGGCGCCUUCCUGGACUGAUACUGACACUGAGGCGCGACAGCGUGGGGAGCGAACAGGA
Molecule: ribosomal RNA, 253 nt
Filed under: uncultured prokaryote
Description: partial 16S ribosomal RNA
Rfam family: Bacterial small subunit ribosomal RNA
Source: RNAcentral